GAUACCCACUGGAUGCCAGAGACAAGGCUAGCAAGUUGCCCAGAAAAGGAACAUAAAGUUGAAUUUUUAAUUAGCUUUUCCCCCUUAAGAAUCUCCCAGUUUGGUUGGUCAAGGGUCAAGAACCCAAAUAAGGGAGGAGGCAGAAACAGCCAUAAAGAGUGAAAGAUUAAAUGAUACGGGAUGAAGUGAUGAAGAGGAUGGGGGAAGUGCCACCAGAGCCAUCUCAGUUUGCAACGAAUGGCCAGAGAAGGCAUUCUAGGUGGGGGGCUGGCCUAAGCAAGGGUGGGAGCCCAGGCCUAGGGAAAAGUUUGGUUUGCUAAGAGAGUUGCCCAGCCACAGAAUAGCAGAAAGUAAGCUUGAAAGGGAGGCUGGGUCAGAUCACAAAAGCUAAUGGAGUGCAGGCUUCGUUCAGAGUGGAACUGGGACCCACAGAAGGUUUCUGAGUGGGGGAGAGUGGCGACCAGAACGAUACUUCAGGCAGGGCCUUGCAGGAGACGCAGGCACACAGAUGAAAGAAGCCAUUGCAAUGCUGUAAGAGAAAUGAGUCCAGGACACAAAGAAGCAACUGUCUACCACCAAGCAUGGGCUCCAGUCAGACACAUAUGGACACAAAUCUCAGCUCAUCUUUAUCAGCAUCAUGAGGCUCCUUCAUCUGUAAAAUGGCAUGAUGACAGCAUCUUGUACUUAGGCUUUAAGAAUUAAAUAUCUAUGGAAUGCUUAGCCCAGAGUCCAGCACACACCCACAGGAAUCCUAGGAUGGCUUGUGGAAUGUGAAGUGCUGCCUCCAGUCUUAAGAAGAGAAUGCACUAUGAAAGGGGAACUGGAGAAUCACGAGGAGGUAAGUUAUGAAGUCAGAGCAUCCUGACCCAAGCCCAUGAAGGACACCUGGCCUGGAAGCUACUCCCACGUCCUGCAGAUGCAUGGGCAGAGCAUGACUUGGUGGUAUGGUGAAGUAACACCCACCCGAGUGCUAGGACCCAGCUCAGGAACGGGGCGGGGGGCUCCAUUCUUCAGGGUCACAGGUGAGCCACCAAUUAGUGAGCACCUGCUGGAUGCCAGGCCUGUGCUGGACACUUGGCCUACCUCCACUCUUCAGAGCAGCCUCCUGAUGCAGACACUGUCACAGCCUCCAUCUCCCAGAUGCAAAAGCUGAGGCUCUGAGACUCGCUCAGGUUCGUAAGGCAGUGAGGGGCAGCUCUGGGACAAACUGCAGAAGCCCAGCCAUACUGCCUCCUGCUGGUGAUGACUGUGGGCCAAAAGAGGGCAAGUCUGGGUUCUCUGGCAGGUUUGCAGGCUCGACCUCCUCAUCUGUAGAAUGGGGUGAGUGACAAUCCCCUCCCCAGUCUCACCAGGGGCUGGCCUCGCUGUUGUUCUGAGGUCUGCGGGAGCUAUUAGUACAUAAGGAGUGCAGCCUCCGUGCCCAGAUUAUCUAUAACUGAUGUGACACAAAGGGAUCGCAUUGUGCUAAAUCAACCAGCCAGGCCCGUCCCCAGCUCUCUCCUGGCCCACAGGGGCCAGGUCGCUUCCUUUGUUCUGCAGGCACCGGCCUGGUAACGAGGCAGCCAGAAGCUCAGCUGUCGACCUUUUUUCAUUAUUUUCUACCCUGUUAACCUCUAUCACCAGUGACGCUGCUGUCAGACUAAAUGAGAACUGAAAAGAUUUACCUCACGUGUCCCAGGCCUCAGUCAGGAAAAAAGACCCUUCAUUUCCUAACAGCCCUGAUGACCCUUUCUCUGCGAGUCACUCCCAUCCAGGAAAAAGAUGUGACAACAACAUCAGGCGGGGACUUGUGACUAGACCAGGUGAUUGGAAUCACCCCAGUAUGGCUUUGCAAAGCGCUGUGGGUUUUUUAUUCUUUAUUGCAUUGUAUUUACCUUCAUAAUUAUGUUUGCUUACACAAAUAUUAA
Long non-coding RNA from Canis lupus familiaris (dog), 1907 nucleotides. RefSeq lists it as uncharacterized. The record is from RefSeq and is a predicted model, not a curated record. The transcript is spliced from 4 exons. Lineage: Eukaryota; Metazoa; Chordata; Mammalia; Carnivora; Canidae.